UCCAAGGAGCUUGCUCCUGAAGAUUAGUGGCAAACGGGUGAGUAAUAUAUAGGAAUCUACCUAGCAGUAAGGAAUAACCUUGGGAAACCAAAGCUAAUGCCAUAUAUUACCGGUUAGUUAACUCUAAUCGGGAAAGAUUUAUCGCUGUUAGAUGAGCCUGUAUCCCAUUAGCUUGUUGGUAGGGUAAUGGCCUACCAAGGCGAUGAUGGGUAGCUGGUCUGAGAGGAUGAUCAGCCACACUGGGACUGCGACACGGCCCAGACUCC
This 266-nucleotide ribosomal RNA is filed under the name uncultured bacterium. Its description in RNAcentral is "partial 16S ribosomal RNA". It matches the Rfam family "Bacterial small subunit ribosomal RNA", at positions 70 to 339 of the family's 1533-position model. The record is from RNAcentral.